This 1451-nucleotide ribosomal RNA is filed under the name uncultured Alphaproteobacteria bacterium. Its description in RNAcentral is "partial 16S ribosomal RNA". It matches the Rfam family "Bacterial small subunit ribosomal RNA". The record is from RNAcentral. Lineage: Bacteria; Pseudomonadati; Pseudomonadota; Alphaproteobacteria.
AGAGUUUGAUUAUGGCUCAGAACGAACGCUGGCGGCGUGCCUAAUACAUGCAAGUCGAACGAAAUCUUCGGAUCUAGUGGAGCAGGGGUGCGAUUCCCGAGUGAAUCUGCCCUUGGGUUCGGAAUAACUUCUGGAAACGGAAUCUAAUACCGGAUGAUGACGUGGGACCAAACAUUUAUCGCCCGGCGAUGACCCCGCAUAUGAUUAGCUAGUUGGAGAGGCACUGGCUCACCAUGGCUACCAUACUUACCUGGUCUGAAAUGAUGAUCAGGCGCGCUGGGACUGAAACACGGCCCAGACUCCUACCGGAGGCAACAGUAUGAAAUAUUGCACUGUGAGUGAAAGCCUGAUCCAACUCUGCCGCGAGACUGAUGAAGGCCUUAUGGCUGUAAGGCUCUUUUACCCGGGAUGAUAACUGACAGUAGCGGAAGAAUAAGCUCCGGCUAACUCCGUGCCGGCAGCCGCGGUAAUACGGAGGGAGCUAACGUUGUUCUGAAUUGCUGGGCGUACAGCGCAGCGUAUGCGGCUAUUCAUGUCACAGGUGACAGCCCGGGGCUCAACGCCGGAACUGCCUUUGAAACUAUAUAGCUUGAAUACAUCAUAGGUGAGUGGAAUUCCCAGUGUAGAGGUGAAAUUCGUAGAUAUGCGGAGGACCACCGAUGGCUAAGGCCGCUCAGUGGACUGAUAUUGACGCUGAUCGUGCGAGAGCGUGUGGAGUGAACAGGAUUAGAUACGCUGGUAGUCCACGCCGGAAACUAUGAUGACUACCUGUCACGGCACAUGGCGUUUUGCAGGCGACGCUAACGCAUUAAAUUAUCCGCCUGGGGAGUACGGUCGCCAGAUUAAAACUCGAGGAAUUGACGGGGCCUGCUCAACCGGUGGAGCAUGUGGUUUAUUCGAACCGGCGCGCAAACCCUUUACAACGUUUGACAUCCCUAUCGCGGAUCGUGGAGACACUUUCUUUCAGUUGGGCUGGAUAGAGUGACAGGCAUGGCAUGGCUGUGGUCAGCUCGUGUGAUGAGAUGUUGGGUUAAGUACCGAAACGAGCGCAACUCUCGACUUUUAAUUGCCAGCAUUUAGUUGGGUAAUAUAAAGGAACCGCCGAUGAUAAGCCGGAGGAAGGUGGGGAUGACGUCAAGUCAUCACGGUCAUUACGCGUGGGACUACACACGUACUACAAUGGGGACUACAGUGGGCAGCCGCGUCAUGAGAGGGAGAUAAUAUAAAACAGUCGUCUCAUUUGGGAUGGUUCUGUACAUCUCGUGAGCGAGAUGGGAGAAUCGAUAGUAAUCGCAGAUCCACAUGGCGGGGAGUAUGUUUUCGCACGCUUUGCACACACCGCGUGUCACCACAUGAGAGGGGGAUUCACUAGGAAGCGAUGAGAUACCUUUAAGGAGGCAGGUGACCACAGUGUGUUUAGCGACUGGGGUGAAGUCGUAACAAGGUAACCG